UAGGGAAUCUUCCGCAAUGGACGAAAGUCUGACGGAGCGACGCCGCGUGAGUGAUGAAGGUCUUCGGAUCGUAAAACUCUGUUGUUAGGGAAGAACAAGUAUCGACCGAAUAAGUCGGUACCUUGACGGUACCUAACCAGAAAGCCCCGGCUAACUACGUGCCAGCAGCCGCGGUAAUACGUAGGGGGCAAGCGUUGUCCGGAUUUAUUGGGCGUAAAGAGCUCGUAGGCUGCUUCGUAAGUCGGACGUGAAAUCCCACGGCUUAACUGUGGGGGCCGUUCGAUACUGCGGAGCUAGAGGCCGGUAGGGGGACGUGGAAUUCCUGGUGUAGCGGUGAAAUGCGCAGAUAUCAGGAGGAACACCGGUUGGCGAAGGCGGGUCUCUGGGCCAUUACUGACGCUGAGGAGCGAAAGCGUGGGGAGCGAACA
This 428-nucleotide ribosomal RNA is filed under the name uncultured bacterium. RNAcentral's name for it is "bacterial SSU rRNA". It matches the Rfam family "Bacterial small subunit ribosomal RNA", at positions 355 to 774 of the family's 1533-position model. The record is from RNAcentral.